GAAAAUGAUUGGACCUCUAUGUUAAACUCUGAUACUGUCUUUGGACUCUCCACUACUGGUCCAGAUAAUUAUGACGUCUUGAAAGGCUAUUAUACUUAUUUGCUUUGAAGCCUUACAGAUGGCUGCAAGGCAUCAAAGCAAAAAAAGAAUGAUAGCCUUUCAAGACGUCAUAAUUAUUUGGACUACUCCACUUCAAGAAAUGUAGCAGGAC
RNAcentral lists this long non-coding RNA (211 nucleotides) under Mytilus galloprovincialis (Mediterranean mussel). The record is from RNAcentral. Lineage: Eukaryota; Metazoa; Mollusca; Bivalvia; Mytilida; Mytilidae.